UACGGCGGGCGCAAGCGUUGUUCGGAAUCAUUGGGCGUAAAGCGCGUGUAGGCGGUUUGGUAAGGCCGGUGUGAAAUCCCGGGGCUCAACCCCGGAACUGCAUUCGAAACUGCCUGGCUAGAGUCCCGGAGGGGAGGGCGGAAUUCCCGGUGUAGAGGUGAAAUUCGUAGAUAUCGGGAGGAACACCAGCGGCGAAGGCGGCCCUCUGGACGGUGACUGACGCUGAGACGCGAAAGCGUGGGGAGCAAACAGG
This 253-nucleotide ribosomal RNA is filed under the name uncultured bacterium. RNAcentral describes it as "partial 16S ribosomal RNA". It matches the Rfam family "Bacterial small subunit ribosomal RNA", at positions 524 to 776 of the family's 1533-position model. The record is from RNAcentral.